UGGGGAAUAUUGGGCAAUGGGCGCAAGCCUGACCCAGCGACGCCGCGUGAGGGAAGAAGGUCUUCGGAUUGUAAACCUUUGUAGACAGGGACGAAACAAAUGACGGUACCUGUAAAGUAAGCCACGGCUAACUACGUGCCAGCAGCCGCGGUAAUACGUAGGUGGCAAGCGUUAUCCGGAUUUACUGGGUGUAAAGGGUGUGUAGGCGGGGAUGCAAGUCAGAUGUGAAAUUUCGAGGCUUAACUUCGGAACUGCAUUUGAAACUGCAACUCUUGAGAGUCGGAGAGGUAAGC
Molecule: ribosomal RNA, 293 nt
Filed under: uncultured Oscillospiraceae bacterium
Lineage: Bacteria; Bacillati; Bacillota; Clostridia; Eubacteriales; Oscillospiraceae
Description: partial 16S ribosomal RNA
Rfam family: Bacterial small subunit ribosomal RNA
Source: RNAcentral